Molecule: transfer RNA, 82 nt
Filed under: Octopus vulgaris (common octopus)
Lineage: Eukaryota; Metazoa; Mollusca; Cephalopoda; Octopoda; Octopodidae
Also listed under: 1 other name
Rfam family: tRNA
About the family: Transfer RNA (tRNA) molecules are approximately 80 nucleotides in length.
Source: Rfam by way of RNAcentral
ACCGAUAUGGCCGAGCGGUUAAGGCGGUGCACUUAAGAUGCAUUGGACAAUGUCCUCGUGGGUUCGAAUCCCACUGUCGGUA